GAAAUGCGAUAAGUAAUGUGAAUUGCAGAAGUCAGUGAAUCAUCGAAUCUUUGAACGCACAUUGCGCCCGCCAGCACUCUGGCGGGCAUGCCUGUUCGAGCGUCAUUUCAACCCUCAGAACCCCUUGCGGGAUCUGGCGUUGGGGAUUGGCAUCCAGCCAGCCCCGAAAUCUAGUGGCGGUCCCUCCGCGACCUCCCCUGUGCAGUAGCGAUACCUCGCAGCGGGACAGCGGUCUGACCACGCCGUAAAACCCCCAACUUCUCAAGGUUGACCUCGAAUCAGGUAUGAAUACCCGCUGAACUUAAGC
RNAcentral lists this unclassified non-coding RNA (307 nucleotides) under plant metagenome. Its description in RNAcentral is "partial contains 5.8S ribosomal RNA, internal transcribed spacer 2, and large subunit ribosomal RNA". The stretch from base 1 to 105 matches the Rfam family "5.8S ribosomal RNA", at positions 50 to 154 of the family's 154-position model. The record is from RNAcentral.